Molecule: RNA transcript, 3780 nt
Organism: Tyto alba (common barn owl)
Lineage: Eukaryota; Metazoa; Chordata; Aves; Strigiformes; Tytonidae
Gene: LHFPL3
Gene name: LHFPL tetraspan subfamily member 3
Exons: 5
Source: RefSeq, a predicted model, not a curated record
UGUGCGGCGGCCGGCAGCGCUGCGCUGCGAUAGGCGGCGGCGGGCCAUGUUGGUGCUGCCGCCGCGGCCGCCGCUGCCGCUGCUGCUGCUGCUGCUGGCGCGGAGCCGCUGAAGCCCGGCGGAGGGGCUCGCCGGCUCUCGCACGCAGCGGCGGCGGCGGAGCGCGUCGCGUCGAGCGGAGCGAGCGGGGAGGAGGAGGAGGAGGAGAAGAAAGGAGGAGGAGGAGGAGGAGGAGGAGGAGGAGGAGGAGGAAGGGGAGGGGGGAUCUUCUCGGCGAGGAUGCCCGGAGCGGCUGCAGGGACGGCGGCGACAGGAGCAGGCUCGUCAGGAGCGGCAGCAGCGGGGAUGCUCCCGGCUCAGGAGGCGGCCAAGAUCUACCACACCAACUACGUGCGGAACUCGCGGGCCAUCGGCGUGCUCUGGGCCAUCUUCACCAUCUGCUUUGCCAUCGUCAACGUGGUGUGCUUCAUCCAGCCCUACUGGAUCGGGGACGGCGUGGACACCCCACAGGCGGGCUACUUCGGGCUCUUCCACUACUGCAUCGGCAACGGCUUCAGCCGGGAACUCACCUGCCGGGGCAGCUUCACGGACUUCUCCAGCCUGCCCUCGGGAGCCUUCAAAGCUGCUUCCUUCUUCAUCGGGCUCUCGAUGAUGCUCAUCAUCGCCUGCAUCGUCUGCUUCAUCCUAUUCUUCUUCUGCAACACAGCCACCGUCUACAAGAUCUGUGCCUGGAUGCAGCUGACCUCGGCUGCCUGUCUCGUCCUGGGUUGUAUGAUUUUUCCUGAUGGCUGGGAUUCAGAUGAGGUAAAACGGAUGUGUGGUGAAAAGACAGACAAGUACACGCUGGGGGCUUGUUCAGUCCGCUGGGCAUAUAUCCUGGCAAUUAUUGGAAUCUUGGAUGCCCUGAUCCUCUCAUUUCUGGCAUUUGUGCUUGGCAACAGACAAGACAGCUUGCUAGCAGAGGAGCUCAAGUUGGAAAACAAAGGCUGGAAUUUGUGAACUGGCCAGCUUUGACAGUUUGAGAUGAUGGAAAUGCUUAAAACAAGUUAAGUCCUACUAAGCCAAUCCUCACUAGAAUGAGCACAAAACAAAACGAAUAACAGCUUUUGUACAUCAACAUUAAAAUGGGAAGAAGCUUGGGAAAGGGCCUCCGACAGAGAAGAACGCUGACGAGUGCAAAAAUGCCUGAUGGGUAAGCGCCACCUUCUAAACAUAGAUCAGCCAGACGUGGAAGUGAUUUUCAGAAGAGAAAUGCAAUCAUGGAUUACACACCAGCUCAUUAGAAACUGUUGCUGAAUACAGCAUCCAGAAGACAUGCAUGAAAAGUCACAUUUGGGGAAUAAAUUAAAAGGGGUGUAGUUGUUGCUAUAUAAACAUAUGUAAUAUAUAUGCAUUCAAGAGGUUUGUAAAUGUCAUUUUUUUUAUUCGGACGGAAAGCAAAAAGCUUUAAAACCUUUCACAGUAGAGAGGCAGUUAACACUAGACUAUUCCUAUCCCAGUAGCCAAGAAGCUGAUAGGACAUUUCUCUUAAAUUAGCAUUUAUAAAUAGACUCUCUGAAUGUUUCCAUCACCUAGUGGAAAAAGCAUAACUUUUACCGCUACAUUGCUGCACUUCAUUUACUUCACUGUAUAAUAAGUUGAUUAAAACUGUAAAGCUUCUCAAUUUUUACUGCAUAUGUGUUCCAAUUAAUCUAUGUCUGUAACAAACUUAAGACUGAAAAAUUAUUUCUGACUUAUAUUCUAGUUCUAUGAAGCAUAUAUACUAUAAGAUAUGUCUGACUGAAUAUCAUAAUACUAUAAUUUCCCAAGACACAUAGAAUCAUUUGUAUUUAAAGUUACAAAAUAAAAGCACUUGAUUUCUUUUUUAAUGGGAGAAAGUCAUUUACCCCUUAAAUGUAACAUACAGCUGCUCACCACAAGGGCGUUUCUAUUCUUUUCCUUGUUCUGCCAUAUAACCGCUGAGUGACACUCUGGCCUGUGCUAAUGCCAGUCAGGUGAGGUGAUCUAAUGAUACCUUCUGGCCUUAAACUCAAUACAUAAAUUAAGAGACUAAUAAGCAAAUACACAUUGCAAAUAGCUAUGGGAGGGCUGGGUGCAUGGAGCCCCGGGGCACUGGUGGGGCUGCUGUUUCCCUCUGUGGGGGCUCGGCAGGUCACUCCCCAAAGGGCACCCUCAUUUCCAGAAGCCACUGAGCAGUAAAACGGGGAGUCACAGGAUAUCAAGAAAGACCUCACAGUGAAAGGCCUGAAUGCCAAGUGCCAGGCACAGAGCAACGGAGGGAAGCAAGGACCCUCUGCUCCUCUCCAGUACCCUGCAGAGCGGCACGCAUCUCCUGGCUCAGGAGCGGGCAGGAGCAUACUGCUCCUUACAUUUCUUCCAUCCUCUUCUGCAUGUCGCAGCUGAAUCCAACCCAAAAUGAGGAUUGCAAAGCUAAUUUCUUCAGAUUUUUUUAAGCCUGUUGCUUCAUUCUUUGGCUUUCAGGGGAAAUGGCUAAAAUAAUAAUUUGUUGCUAAUAUUGAUCCCAAAUAACAUACUGAAGACAUGAGUAAAACACGAGUUAAAACUGUUUUUUGACUAUUGGCUGUACAACACAAAUUAUUCCAGAAUUUAGUGCAUGGAUCUCAGAAAAUUUUAUUUUUGAACGAAAAAUUAGCUUUAAGCGAACUGUCAAUAAAUAAAUAAGUACAGGGAAUUAGGUAACUCUUCUAUCUAAUUACCAAGGUGCCGAUGUGGCACUUCUUAUCUUAGAGACUGAACGCUGAUGUGGAUGUCUGCCAAGUAAAUUUAUGUGUGAAUCCAGGCAGCAUUACUAAAAAUAAAAAAACAUGUUGUUUUAAACUAAAUCCAUUCUUAUAACUGCAUGUAGGAGACUCCCCUAACUUCUACAGGAAUAGUGUUAGAGCUGGUCAAAAACCCCACCCACAUCAAUAAACCACCAUAAAUAUAUUCCCAGUACUUGCUACUGACUUGAAGGGGAUGGAAGGUAAAAAUCAAGUGGUUUACACAUGAGGCUACAUAAAGUCAUUAAGGUCCCACUUCAGACAGCUUUUUAAGUCUGUGAUUAAUCCAACCAGUGUCAGCUGAAAAAUGCAUAUCCUUAAGGGCCAGAUGCAUUCAGGAGUCACUGCUCAGUAGUGUCUUGGUGAAGCCCAUUCUCACUCACUGCUCCUGUGGGCUCACAGCCACACUCUCACCUCAGAAGCCUGUGAAAGGGUUUGCUCUCUGGAUGUGCUAUCGUAUCACCAUCUUCAUUUCCUCCUUAGGUUUACCUCUGUCCCACAUUAUGGCAAUCAUGGCACUUUUGCUGCGACAAAAAAAUCAGAAAUCACCAAAACAGAGUUUCUCUGUAUUAUAUUAUUUUGUUAUGGACUACUAAGUUUUGCAUCAUGGUGACUGUGUAAUCUAAAAGCCCUUUCUAAAUAUACUCAAAUGUUGCAAAAAAAGUGUCAUCACAAGACCUCACAACCCUGCCAGGGCAGCUCAGUGAAUAUGUACCAUUUGUACACAGUCAGAAGGAGAGGCAUACCAGGAUGUACAUCACUGAAUGUUGACUCAGUAUAAAUAGUAUGGUUUAUUUUUUAAAAUGUUACCGCUUUCCCAUCCUACUCCAUUGUAAUUUGUCAAUUGUAAUUUUUUUUUAAGUCAACAAACUGUAAAGAAAACUGUUGAAAUACCUGAUUUUCUGUAAAAAUUAAUAACAAUAAUUUUUGUUACUUUAAAGUAUGCUUGGUAUUAAAGAACCUAAUAAAGUUCAACAAUUAAUUUUGUAGCAUACUAAAA